GAUGAAGAACGUAGCGAAAUGCGAUAAGUAAUGUGAAUUGCAGAAUCCAGUGAAUCAUCGAAUCUUUGAACGCACAUUGCGCCCGCCAGUAUUCUGGCGGGCAUGCCUGUCCGAGCGUCAUUUCAACCAUCAAGCCCCAGGCUUGUGUUGGGGACCCGCGUCCGACGCAGGCCCUGAAAACCAGUGGCGGGCUCGCUGUCCACACCGAGCGUAGUAACUAACCUCGCUACGGGAGCGGCGCGGGCGCCUGCCGUAAAACCCCCAAUUUUCACAAGGUUGACCUCGGAUCAGGUAGGAAUACCCGCUGAACUUAAGCAUAUCAAUAAGCGGAGGA
RNAcentral lists this unclassified non-coding RNA (334 nucleotides) under soil metagenome. RNAcentral describes it as "partial contains 5.8S ribosomal RNA, internal transcribed spacer 2, and large subunit ribosomal RNA". The stretch from base 1 to 120 matches the Rfam family "5.8S ribosomal RNA", at positions 35 to 154 of the family's 154-position model. The record is from RNAcentral.